GAUGAAGAACGUAGUGAAAUGCGAUACGUAAUGUGAAUUGCAGAAUUCAGUGAAUCAUCGAGUCUUUGAACGCACAUUGCGCCCCCUGGUAUUCCGGGGGGCAUGCCUGUCCGAGCGUCAUUGCUGCCCUCAAGCACGGCUUGUGUGUUGGGCUUCCGUCCCUGGCAACGGGGACGGGCCCAAAAGGCAGUGGCGGCACCAUGUCUGGUCCUCGAGCGUAUGGGGCUUUGUCACCCGCUCCCGUAGGUCCAGCUGGCAGCUAGCCUCGCAACCAAUCUUUUUAACCAGGUUGACCUCGGAUCAGGUAGGGAUACCCGCUGAACUUAAGCAUAUCAAUAAGCGGAGGA
RNAcentral lists this unclassified non-coding RNA (347 nucleotides) under soil metagenome. RNAcentral describes it as "partial contains 5.8S ribosomal RNA, internal transcribed spacer 2, and large subunit ribosomal RNA". The stretch from base 1 to 120 matches the Rfam family "5.8S ribosomal RNA", at positions 35 to 154 of the family's 154-position model. The record is from RNAcentral.